AACCGCUGAGGCGCGUGUGUGGAGGAAAGAACAGGCAAAUGAUUUACUUUGCUAUACCAAGGAGCAGAUGCUGAUCUCAUAAGAGCUAAGGAUGCGUCAUUUCUAGCAUUAGUUCCCAUUUCUGCAAUAGAAGUUUUGUGAUGGGAUAGCGGCAAUUUUUUAUUUUAUUUUAUUUUAUUUUUAGGAAAUUAUUACUUACUCCUAAAGUACCAUGUUAUCAAG
Molecule: unclassified non-coding RNA, 222 nt
Filed under: Hevea brasiliensis (rubber tree)
Lineage: Eukaryota; Viridiplantae; Streptophyta; Magnoliopsida; Malpighiales; Euphorbiaceae
Source: RNAcentral